CGGGGCGUAGCGCAGCCUGGUAGCGCAUCUGCUUUGGGAGCAGGAGGUCGGAGGUUCAAAUCCUCUCGCCCCGACCA
RNAcentral lists this transfer RNA (77 nucleotides) under bacterium. RNAcentral's name for it is "tRNA-Pro". It matches the Rfam family "tRNA". From Rfam's summary of the family: Transfer RNA (tRNA) molecules are approximately 80 nucleotides in length. Their secondary structure includes four short double-helical elements and three loops (D, anti-codon, and T loops). Further hydrogen bonds mediate the characteristic L-shaped molecular structure. tRNAs have two regions of fundamental functional importance: the anti-codon, which is responsible for specific mRNA codon recognition, and the 3' end, to which the tRNAs corresponding amino acid is attached (by aminoacyl-tRNA synthetases). tRNAs cope with the degeneracy of the genetic code in two manners: having more than one tRNA (with a specific anti-codon) for a particular amino acid; and 'wobble' base-pairing, i.e. permitting non-standard base-pairing at the 3rd anti-codon position. RNAcentral also lists the same sequence under 3 other names. The record is from RNAcentral.